AAGGCACUCUGAGAAGCCAUAUGAGAAUUCAUACCGGAGAGAAACCUUAUAAAUGCAGUGAAUGUGACAAAUGUUUUCGCCUACAAUGCCAUCGUAGUAUUCACCAGAGAGUACAUACAGGAGAUAAACGUUACAAAUGCAAUGAAUGUGACAAAUGCUUUGGCUACAAAAGUAGUCUGAGAAUUCAUCAGAGAAUUCAUACUUGAAAGAAACAAAGAUAAACAGAACCGAAAGCUGAUGCUUUGAGAAAAUCAACAAGAUAGAUAAACACUUAGCCAGAAUAAUCACAGGGCAUAGAGACUGUGGCCAAAUUAACAAAUAUCAGAAAUGAAAAGGUAGAC
RNAcentral lists this long non-coding RNA (341 nucleotides) under Rattus norvegicus (Norway rat). RNAcentral describes it as "long non-coding RNA NONRATT022836". The record is from RNAcentral. Lineage: Eukaryota; Metazoa; Chordata; Mammalia; Rodentia; Muridae.